AUUGAACGCUGGCGGCAGGCCCAACACAUGCAAGUCGAACGGUAACAGAGAGUAGCUUGCUACUUUGCUGACGAGUGGCGGACGGGUGAGUAAUGUCUGGGGAUCUGCCUGAUGGAGGGGGAUAACUACUGGAAACGGUAGCUAAUACCGCAUAAUGUCGCAAGACCAAAGCGGGGGACUUUCGGGCCUCGCACCAUCAGAUGAACCCAGAUGGGAGUAGCUAGUAGGUAGGGUAAUGGCUUACCUAGGCGACGAUCCCUAGCUGGUCUGAGAGGAUGACCAGCCACACUGGAACUGAGACACGGUCCAGACUCCUACGGGAGGCAGCAGUGGGGAAUAUUGCACAAUGGGCGCAAGCCUGAUGCAGCCAUGCCGCGUGUAUGAAGAAGGCCUUCGGGUUGUAAAGUACUUUCAGUCAGGAGGAAGGGUGUGAAAUUAAUACUUUCAUGCAUUGACGUUACUGACAGAAGAAGCACCGGCUAACUCCGUGCCAGCCGCCGCUGUAA
Molecule: ribosomal RNA, 506 nt
Filed under: uncultured bacterium
Lineage: Bacteria
Description: partial 16S ribosomal RNA
Rfam family: Bacterial small subunit ribosomal RNA
Source: RNAcentral